This 693-nucleotide ribosomal RNA is filed under the name uncultured bacterium. Its description in RNAcentral is "bacterial SSU rRNA". It matches the Rfam family "Bacterial small subunit ribosomal RNA", at positions 140 to 851 of the family's 1533-position model. The record is from RNAcentral.
GGGAUAACAGUUGGAAACGGCUGCUAAUACCGCAUAAGCGCACAGCAUCGCAUGAUGCAGUGUGAAAAACUCCGGUGGUAUAAGAUGGACCCGCGUUGGAUUAGCUAGUUGGUGAGGUAACGGCCCACCAAGGCGACGAUCCAUAGCCGACCUGAGAGGGUGACCGGCCACAUUGGGACUGAGACACGGCCCAAACUCCUACGGGAGGCAGCAGUGGGGAAUAUUGCACAAUGGGCGAAAGCCUGAUGCAGCGACGCCGCGUGAGCGAAGAAGUAUUUCGGUAUGUAAAGCUCUAUCAGCAGGGAAGAUAAUGACGGUACCUGACUAAGAAGCACCGGCUAAAUACGUGCCAGCAGCCGCGGUAAUACGUAUGGUGCAAGCGUUAUCCGGAUUUACUGGGUGUAAAGGGAGCGCAGGCGGUGCGGCAAGUCUGAUGUGAAAGCCCGGGGCUCAACCCCGGUACUGCAUUGGAAACUGUCGUACUAGAGUGUCGGAGGGGUAAGCGGAAUUCCUAGUGUAGCGGUGAAAUGCGUAGAUAUUAGGAGGAACACCAGUGGCGAAGGCGGCUUACUGGACGAUAACUGACGCUGAGGCUCGAAAGCGUGGGGAGCAAACAGGAUUAGAUACCCUGGUAGUCCACGCCGUAAACGACGAAAACUAGGUGUUGGGAAGCAUUGCUUCUCGGUGCCGUCG